This 69-nucleotide transfer RNA is filed under the name Marmota monax (woodchuck). Its description in RNAcentral is "tRNA.Asp". The record is from RNAcentral. Lineage: Eukaryota; Metazoa; Chordata; Mammalia; Rodentia; Sciuridae.
GGGGUUGUGGCUUAGUGGCAGAGUGCUUGCCUGUCGUGUGAGGAACUGGGUUCGAUUCUCAGCACCGCA